RNAcentral lists this unclassified non-coding RNA (342 nucleotides) under soil metagenome. RNAcentral describes it as "partial contains 5.8S ribosomal RNA, internal transcribed spacer 2, and large subunit ribosomal RNA". The stretch from base 1 to 120 matches the Rfam family "5.8S ribosomal RNA", at positions 35 to 154 of the family's 154-position model. The record is from RNAcentral.
GAUGAAGAACGCAGCGAAAUGCGAUAAGUAAUGUGAAUUGCAGAAUUCAGUGAAUCAUCGAAUCUUUGAACGCACAUUGCGCCCGCCAGCACUCUGGCGGGCAUGCCCGUUCGAGCGUCAUUUCAACCAUCAAGCCCCCAGGGGCUUGUGCUGGGGCCCUGCGGCUGCCCGCAGGCCCUGAAAACCAGUGGCGGGCUCGCUAGUCACACCGAGCGCAGUAGCACAUCUCGCUCAGGGCGUGCGGCGGGCUCCUGCCGUGAAACCCCCCACUGUAACCCCAAAGGUUGACCUCGGAUCAGGUAGGAAUACCCGCUGAACUUAAGCAUAUCAAUAAGCGGAGGA